GACCCUAUAGAGUUUAAUAUUUUAUUAAUAAAAUAUUUUUUAGAAUUUUAUAUUAUUUUAUUAAUAAAAUAUUUGAUUGGGGUGAUUGAAAAAUUAAAAUAACUUUUUUUAUAUAAGUACAUUAAUUUAUGAUAAUUUGAUCCAUUUUUUAUGAUUAUAAGAUUAAAUUACCUUAGGGAUAACAGCGUAAUUUUUUUUAAGAGUUCUAAUCGAAAAAAAAGAUUGCGACCUCGAUGUUGGAUUAAAAUUUAUAUUCGGUGUAGAAGCUGAAUUUAUUGGGUCUGUUCGACCUUUAAAAUUUUACAUGAUCUGA
RNAcentral lists this ribosomal RNA (313 nucleotides) under Pharaxonotha sp. D0057. RNAcentral describes it as "partial 16S large subunit ribosomal RNA". The stretch from base 178 to 313 matches the Rfam family "Bacterial large subunit ribosomal RNA", at positions 2473 to 2608 of the family's 2925-position model. Lineage: Eukaryota; Metazoa; Arthropoda; Insecta; Coleoptera; Erotylidae. The record is from RNAcentral.